This 435-nucleotide ribosomal RNA is filed under the name uncultured bacterium. Its description in RNAcentral is "partial 16S ribosomal RNA". It matches the Rfam family "Bacterial small subunit ribosomal RNA", at positions 29 to 507 of the family's 1533-position model. The record is from RNAcentral.
AACGAACGCUGGCGGCAUGCCUAACACAUGCAAGUCGAACGAUUGCCUUCGGGUGAUAGUGGCGCACGGGUGCGUAACGCGUGGGAAUCUGCCCUUAGGUUCGGAAUAACAGCUGGAAACGGCUGCUAAUACCGGAUGAUAUCGCGCGAUCAAAGAUUUAUCGCCUGAGGAUGAGCUCGCGUUGGAUUAGGUGGUUGGUGGGCUAAAGGCCUACCAAGCCGACUAUCCAUAGCUGGUCUGAGAGGAUGUGCAGCCACACUGAGACUGAGACACGGCACAGACUCCUACGGGAGGCAGCAGUGGGGAAUAGUGGACAGUGGGCGCAAGCCUGAUCCAGCAAGGCCGCGUGAGUGAUGAAGGCACUAGGGUUGUAAAGCUCUUUUAACCGGGAAGAUAAUGACUGUACCGGGAGAAUAAGCCCCGGCUAACUCCGUG